UGCAGGAGGCCUGCGAGUCGUACCUCGUU
Molecule: non-coding RNA, 29 nt
Filed under: Mus musculus (house mouse)
Lineage: Eukaryota; Metazoa; Chordata; Mammalia; Rodentia; Muridae
Source: RNAcentral